RNAcentral lists this ribosomal RNA (845 nucleotides) under uncultured bacterium. RNAcentral describes it as "SSU rRNA". It matches the Rfam family "Bacterial small subunit ribosomal RNA", at positions 524 to 1381 of the family's 1533-position model. The record is from RNAcentral.
CACGUAGGAUCCGAGCGUUAUCCGAAUUUACUGGGCGUAAAGCGCGUGCAGGCGGUUUGGUAAGUUGGACGUGAAAUCUCCCGGCUCAACUGGGUGAGGUCGUUCAAGACUGCCAGACUAGAGGGCAGUAGAGGGAGGUGGAAUUCCCGGUGUAGUGGUGAAAUGCGUAGAUAUCGGGAGGAACACCAGUGGCGAAAGCGGCCUCCUGGGCUGCACCUGACGCUCAGACGCGAAAGCUAGGGGAGCGAACGGGAUUAGAUACCCCGGUAGUCCUAGCCGUAAACGAUGUGGACUUGGCGUCGGUGGGUUCAAAUCCGCCGGUGCCGUAGCUAACGCGCUAAGUCCACCGCCUGGGGACUACGGCCGCAAGGUUAAAACUCAAAGGAAUUGGCGGGGGCCCGCACAAGCAGCGGAGCGUGUGGUUUAAUUCGAUGCUACACGAGGAACCUUACCCGGGUUUGACAUGCAGGUAGUAGGGAACUGAAAGGGGACCGACCCUUCGGGGAGCCUGCACAGGUGCUGCAUGGCUGUCGUCAGCUCGUGUCGUGAGAUGUCCGGUUAAGUCCGGUAACGAGCGCAACCCCUGCUGGAUGUUACAAGUGUCAUCCAGGACUGCCGGUUUAGUGCCGGAGGAAGGCGGGGAUGACGUCAAGUCAGCAUGGCCUUUAUAUCCGGGGCUACACACACGCUACAAUGGCCAGUACAAUGGGUCGCAAAGCCGCAAGGUGGAGCCAAUCCCCAAAACUGGUCUCAGUUCAGAUUGCAGGCUGCAACUCGCCUGCAUGAAGUCGGAGUUGCUAGUAACCGCGCGUCAGCUAUAGUGCGGUGAAUACGUUCCCGGGCCU